RNAcentral lists this ribosomal RNA (230 nucleotides) under uncultured bacterium. RNAcentral's name for it is "partial 16S ribosomal RNA". It matches the Rfam family "Bacterial small subunit ribosomal RNA", at positions 565 to 791 of the family's 1533-position model. The record is from RNAcentral.
GCGUGCGCAGGCGGUUAUGUAAGACAGAUGUGAAAUACCCCGGGCCUCAACCUGGGAACUGCAUUUGUGACUGCAUGGCUAGAGUACGGUAGAGGGGGAGUGGAAUUCCGCGUGUAGCAGUGAAAUGCGUAGAUAUGCGGAGGAACACCGAUGGCGAAGGCAAUCCCCUGGACCUGUACUGACGCUCAUGCACGAAAGCGUGGGGAGCAAACAGGAUUAGAUACCCUAGU